Molecule: long non-coding RNA, 662 nt
Organism: Anthonomus grandis grandis
Lineage: Eukaryota; Metazoa; Arthropoda; Insecta; Coleoptera; Curculionidae
Exons: 2
Source: RefSeq, a predicted model, not a curated record
CUCAUGAUCGGAUAAUAUGCUAAAAAAAUGUGUGACAGUUUUUGAUUAACAAUAUUUUGUACUAUAAGUUUGUUUUAUUAAUGAUAGUCAGAAAACUACUACCAAGAAAGAUACAGGAGAUUUUCGAAUUAGAUCUUAUCCUUACGGUGGUCUUAGCUUCUAGAUCUAAUAUUUUAUAAGAUAAUGAACUUAGAGCUUUAAAAGUCUCAACAGGAUUCAUAGAAUAGACAACUAUUUUGUCAACGCUCCAAAGUCCAACUGGUGUCACCCAAAUUUUAGAUAGUGAUAUGUCGUGAACGAAUGCUGUAUUACAAAAUUUUGUGACAAUUUUUGCUUCAAAAGAUAAUAACUCUAGACUCUCAGGUAGACGUUCCAAGUUCCAGCUACUUUCAACUAAAUUUUAAAUAGUGAUAACUCAUGAAUGGACGAUUUGUUAAAGAAUCUUGUAACCGUUUUUGAGAGACAAAAUCUUGUACUAUAAGUUCGUUAAAAUUGAUAAUAAUCCGAAAACUACUACUAAGAAAGAUCUCUUGUAGAGAUCUUCAUGUUAAAUCCUGUUCCUAGGGAAAUACUCAGCUUCUGGAUCUAAAACCUUAUGAAAUAACAGUUGUACAAUUUUAGAAGUCUUUACAAACACCGUAGAAUAAAUAGUUUUCUUCCAA